GUGUGUGUGGUCCAAAAUUUUUUGACUUCCAAACAACCACAAAACCAUAACAACUUUAAGUCCUAAUUGGUUCCAAAAUAUUGGGGACUUAAUGUAUUAGUUCACUUUUAAACUUAAACCACACAACCACACAAAACGUCUAAGGGCAAUUUCAUCUUUUCACACCAUCGAUAACAAUAAUUCGAGACGGGCUGCAACAUGUAAUGUCGGUUAUAAAAAAGGUCUUUCGCACGUGGAUAAUAAUGUGAUUAAAUUGGUUGUCAUAUGAUUUUUUUUUUAACAAACAAUAUUAUCUACAUUAAGGGAGAGGGGUGGGCUUAGCCUAUCACUGAGCUAGUAAUAAUGUAAUUCAAUCAGUUGUUUAUUAAAUAUUAUUUUCUUUAUUUUUAUACACGUUCAAAAUAUCUUAAGAGGUAUGUAUUGCCGGUUAUAAAAAUGGUCUUUCACACGCAGAUAAUAAUGUGAUUAAAUUAGUUGUUAAUUGAUUGUUUUUUUUUUUAACAAACGAUAUUAUCUACACUAAGGAUGAGGAAUGUGGGCUUAGCCUCAUGGGAUAGCACUAAUGUAAUUCAAUCAAUUACUUAUUAAAUAUUAUUUUCUCUAUUCUUAAUGUAAAUUUUAUAGAGACUGAUUUUAUUAUAUAAAUUUAACUGCUUUAAUUAGUUUAUGAGGGGUUUCUUCUAGCAUGAUCUAAGAUUAUUCAUUUACUUCAAAUAUUUUACUUUCCUUUUGUUAAUUUAUGCAUAUAAUAAAUUUGAAACUUGUAAAUAUAUAAAGCCAAUGGAAAAGUGAAUAGUGAUUUUGGUGUCACCAAGCUUCAACAAAAAGAUUUGGACAAAAAUGCCCCCAAGACAAAAAACUUCAAAGGCAUCCCAAAAUAAUGCAUCAAAUAAGACAAUGACAUUUUCGUCAUGUUAACAGUAUUUUUUAAUAAUUAAUUUUUUGGUACUUUUUUUUAGUAUGUCACAAUAGACUAGCAAUAAUGUGAUUCAAUUUUUCUAUUUUUAAACACGUUCAAAAUAUCUUAAGAGGCUUGUAAUGCUAGUUAUAAAAAAAAGGUCUUUCGCACGCUAAUAAUAAUAUGAUUAAAUAAGUUGUCAAUGAUUUUUUAUUUUUUUUAACAAACGAUAUUAUCUACAUUAAGGAGGAUGAGGGUGGGCAUAACCUCACAAUAGGCUAGCAAUAAUGUGAUUCAAUCAGUUGUUUAUUAAAUAUUACUUUCUCUAUUUUUAAACGCAUUCAAAACAUCUUAAGAUGUGUGUAAUGCUGGUUAUAGAAAAAGGUAUUUCGCAUGCAGAUAAUAAUGUGAUUAAAUUAGUUGUCAAAUGAUUGUUUUUUUUUAACAAACGAUAUUAUUUACACUAAGGGGGAGGAGUGGGCUUAGCCUCACAAUGGGCUAGCAAUAAUGUGAUUCAAUCAAUUAUUUAUUAAAUAUUAUUUUCUCUAUUCUUAAUGUAAAUUUUAUAGAGACCGAUUUUAUUAUGUGAAUUCAGCUGCUUUAAUUGUUUUAUAUGGGGUUUCUUCUAGCAUAAUAUAAGAUUAUUCAUUUAUUUCAAAUAUUUGGCUUUCCUUUUGUCAAUUUACGCAUAUAAAUACAUUUAAAAUGUUUAAGUCGCGUGUAGUACGCCGUAAUUCAAAAAAUGUCUUCAUCAUUUUAAUUAGUUUUUUUGUGCUGUUUUUUUUUAAUGAUUAAUACCUCACAAUAUGGUAGCAAUAAUGUGAUUUAAUUUCUCUAUUUUAAAAAACGUUCAAAAUAUCUUAAGAGGCGUGUAAUGCAGGUUAUAAAAAAUUUCUUUCACACGCAGAUAAUAAUGUGAUUAAAUUAGUUGUCAAAUGAUUGUUUUUUUAUAACAAAUGAUAUUAUCUACACCAAGGGGAAGGAGGUGGGCUUAGCUUCACAAUAAGCUAGUAAUAAUGUGAUUCAAUUAGUU
This 1931-nucleotide long non-coding RNA is filed under the name Malus domestica (apple). RNAcentral describes it as "long non-coding RNA (MDOM_LNC010824)". The record is from RNAcentral. Lineage: Eukaryota; Viridiplantae; Streptophyta; Magnoliopsida; Rosales; Rosaceae.